GUUCAUCCGAUUUGUGUCUCAGAAGGCGAUUAAAAGGAGAGAAAAGCGGAAUAAUAUCAAUAGUGGUGACGCCGUCUUUAUACCACAUCUACAGUAAUGUAUCAUUUCUAGCUGGUUCUUGCUCCUCUCUCCGCCUCUCUUUCCCUC
Molecule: non-coding RNA, 147 nt
Organism: Caenorhabditis elegans
Lineage: Eukaryota; Metazoa; Nematoda; Chromadorea; Rhabditida; Rhabditidae
Source: Ensembl